Molecule: long non-coding RNA, 414 nt
Filed under: Ananas comosus (pineapple)
Lineage: Eukaryota; Viridiplantae; Streptophyta; Magnoliopsida; Poales; Bromeliaceae
Description: long non-coding RNA (ACOM_LNC006718)
Source: RNAcentral
UUUUCCGACUGCUAACAUCUAUUUUUGAUCACCGACUGUCCCUAGCGCGAGUAGCAAAGGGCAUGGUGGUUGGUACCUGAGGUCCCGCGUUCAAAUCCUAGUUGAUUCACAUUUUCAGCUAAGUUUAUUUUUAAAUGAAAUAAACGAAACGAAUAGUAUGCUACCUAUCUCUCAAAAAAAAAAAAAUUUGUUUUUGAUCUCAUUAAAGUUUUAUAUUAAGAAUCACCUAAUGCUAUCGGAUAAAAAAGAAGCUGAGAUAAAAAUUAGUAUAAUAUUACCGACUGUCCCUAGAGCAAGUGGCAAAGAGUUUGGUAGUUAAUAUCCGAAAUCCAAGUUCGAAUCCUAGUUGAUUCACAUUUCUAGCUAAAUUUAUUUCUAAAUGAAAUAAACGAAACGGGUAGGAUGCUACCUAUC